UGCAAGUCGAACGAGAGAGAAGGAGCUUGCUUCUUCGAUCGAGUGGCGAACGGGUGAGUAACGCGUGAGGAACCUGCCUCAAAGAGGGGGACAACAGUUGGAAACGACUGCUAAUACCGCAUAAGCCCACGGGUCGGCAUCGAUCUGAGGGAAAAGGAGCAAUCCGCUUUGAGAUGGCCUCGCGUCCGAUUAGCUAGUUGGUGAGGUAACGGCCCACCAAGGCGACGAUCGGUAGCCGGACUGAGAGGUUGAACGGCCACAUUGGGACUGAGACACGGCCCAGACUCCUACGGGAGGCAGCAGUGGGGAAUAUUGCACAAUGGGGGAAACCCUGAUGCAGCGACGCCGCGUGGAGGAAGAAGGUCUUCGGAUUGUAAACUCCUGUUGUUGAGGAAGAUAAUGACGGUACUCAACAAGGAAGUGACGGCCAACUACGUGCCAGCAGCCGCGGUAAAACGUAGGUCACAAGCGUUGUCCGGAAUUACUGGGUGUAAAGGGAGCGCAGGCGGGAAGACAAGUUGGAAGUGAAAUCUGUGGGCUCAACCCAUAAACUGCUUUCAAAACUGUUUUUCUUGAGUAGUGCAGAGGUAGGCGGAAUUCCCGGUGUAGCGGUGGAAUGCGUAGAUAUCGGGAGGAACACCAGUGGCGAAGGCGGCCUACUGGGCACCAACUGACGCUGAGGCUCGAAAGUGUGGGUAGCAAACAGGAUUAGAUACCCUGGUAGUCCACACCGUAAACGAUGAUUACUAGGUGUUGGAGGAUUGACCCCUUCAGUGCCGCAGUUAACACAAUAAGUAAUCCACCUGGGG
RNAcentral lists this ribosomal RNA (809 nucleotides) under uncultured bacterium. Its description in RNAcentral is "bacterial SSU rRNA". It matches the Rfam family "Bacterial small subunit ribosomal RNA", at positions 56 to 878 of the family's 1533-position model. The record is from RNAcentral.